Molecule: non-coding RNA, 135 nt
Organism: Triticum aestivum (bread wheat)
Lineage: Eukaryota; Viridiplantae; Streptophyta; Magnoliopsida; Poales; Poaceae
Source: Rfam
UUUUUACUCCCUCCGUCCCAAAAUUCUUGUCUAAUAUUUGUCUAGAUACGGAUGUACCUAACACUAAACUAUGACUAGAUACAUCCAUAUUUAGACAAAUCUAAGACAAGAAUUUUGGGACGGAGGGAGUAGUAA